AUACGGAGGGUGCAAGCGUUACUCGGAAUCACUGGGCGUAAAGCGCGCGCAGGCGGGCUGAUAAGUUGGAUGUGAAAGCCUACGGCUCAACCGUAGAACUGCAUCCAAAACUGUCAGUCUAGAGUGUGGGAGAGGAAGAUGGAAUUAGUUGUGUAGGGGUAAAAUCCGUAGAGAUAACUAGGAAUACCAAAAGCGAAGGCAAUCUUCUGGAACACUACUGACGCUGAGGCGCGAAAGCGUGGGGAGCAAACAGGAUUAGAAACCCCAGUAGUCC
This 274-nucleotide ribosomal RNA is filed under the name uncultured bacterium. RNAcentral describes it as "partial 16S ribosomal RNA". It matches the Rfam family "Bacterial small subunit ribosomal RNA", at positions 523 to 796 of the family's 1533-position model. The record is from RNAcentral.